This 253-nucleotide ribosomal RNA is filed under the name uncultured bacterium. RNAcentral's name for it is "partial 16S ribosomal RNA". It matches the Rfam family "Bacterial small subunit ribosomal RNA", at positions 524 to 776 of the family's 1533-position model. The record is from RNAcentral.
UACAGAGGGGGCAAGCGUUGUUCGGAAUUACUGGGCGUAAAGGGCGCGUAGGCGGCCUUCUAAGUCGAACGUGAAAUCCCCGGGCUCAACCUGGGAACUGCAUUUGUGACUGCAUGGCUAGAGUACGGUAGAGGGGGAUGGAAUUCAGCGUGUAGCGGUGAAAUGCGUAGAGAUGUGGAGGAACACCGAUGGCGAAGGCAGCCUUCUGGGCCAACACUGACGCUCAUGCACGAAAGCGUGGGGAGCAAACAGG